Molecule: long non-coding RNA, 416 nt
Filed under: Panicum hallii
Lineage: Eukaryota; Viridiplantae; Streptophyta; Magnoliopsida; Poales; Poaceae
Description: long non-coding RNA (PHAL_LNC000106)
Source: RNAcentral
GAUGGAGAAUUAAUCCGAUUCACAUGUGGGAUGGAUUAAACUAAAAAUUAAGAUGAAAACAUUACGUGAUUUAAAAAUAGAUAAAGGUAAGUAGAGUAAUUUCUUAGGCGGCAGGUGGGGCAGUAGCUAAAAUAAAUUAUGUAGCGAGGCAAAAAAAAUUUCUUACACAAGUCCUCCGAACGAACACACAAUAAACCAAUAAACCAGUGAUUAACUUUUACUAGCUAUCUACUCUCUCAUUCCCAAUAAAAAAAUAUAAUUCUGAAUAUACACCUAGACUAGGACAUAGUGGUACCUUCUUAGAUUCCAGAUUAUACUAUUACCAAGUUAUUAACUGACAAUGUUACGACCCGUUUACGGUAUCUUUAUGGUUAAUACGGUAUCUUUAUUGUUAAUACACGUACGUUUGAUAAAAA